Molecule: ribosomal RNA, 484 nt
Filed under: uncultured bacterium
Lineage: Bacteria
Description: partial 16S ribosomal RNA
Rfam family: Bacterial small subunit ribosomal RNA
Source: RNAcentral
AUUGAACGCUGGCGGCAGGCCUAACACAUGCAAGUCGAGCGGUAGAGAGAAGCUUGCUUCUCUUGAGAGCGGCGGACGGGUGAGUAAUGCCUAGGAAUCUGCCUGGUAGUGGGGGAUAACGUUCGGAAACGGACGCUAAUACCGCAUACGUCCUACGGGAGAAAGCAGGGGACCUUCGGGCCUUGCGCUAUCAGAUGAGCCUAGGUCGGAUUAGCUAGUUGGUGGGGUAAUGGCUCACCAAGGCGACGAUCCGUAACUGGUCUGAGAGGAUGAUCAGUCACACUGGAACUGAGACACGGUCCAGACUCCUACGGGAGGCAGCAGUGGGGAAUAUUGGACAAUGGGCGAAAGCCUGAUCCAGCCAUGCCGCGUGCGUGAAGAAGGUCUUCGGAUUGUAAAGCACUUUAAGUUGGGAGGAAGGGUUGUAGAUUAAUACUCUGCAAUUUUGACGUUACCGACAGAAUAAGCACCGGCUAACUCUGUG